RNAcentral lists this transfer RNA (90 nucleotides) under Deinococcus grandis. Its description in RNAcentral is "tRNA-Ser". It matches the Rfam family "tRNA". From Rfam's summary of the family: Transfer RNA (tRNA) molecules are approximately 80 nucleotides in length. Their secondary structure includes four short double-helical elements and three loops (D, anti-codon, and T loops). Further hydrogen bonds mediate the characteristic L-shaped molecular structure. tRNAs have two regions of fundamental functional importance: the anti-codon, which is responsible for specific mRNA codon recognition, and the 3' end, to which the tRNAs corresponding amino acid is attached (by aminoacyl-tRNA synthetases). tRNAs cope with the degeneracy of the genetic code in two manners: having more than one tRNA (with a specific anti-codon) for a particular amino acid; and 'wobble' base-pairing, i.e. permitting non-standard base-pairing at the 3rd anti-codon position. The record is from RNAcentral. Lineage: Bacteria; Thermotogati; Deinococcota; Deinococci; Deinococcales; Deinococcaceae. RNAcentral also lists the same sequence under 25 other names.
GGAACGGUGUCCGAGUGGUUGAAGGAGCACGCCUGGAAAGCGUGUAUAGGUGCAAGCUUAUCGAGGGUUCGAAUCCCUCCCGUUCCGCCA